Mauremys mutica (yellowpond turtle) is the source of this 1401-nucleotide long non-coding RNA. RefSeq lists it as uncharacterized. The record is from RefSeq and is a predicted model, not a curated record. The transcript has 5 exons. NCBI's taxonomy places the organism in Eukaryota, Metazoa, Chordata, Testudines, Geoemydidae.
UGAUUUUAUCUAUCUAUCUAUCUAGAGAGAGAGAGAAAGAGAGAGAGAAAGUACAGAUUGUUACAUUAGAUAUAGUAUUUCCCCAUGAAAUCUGUGUUAUAUAACAAAAUAACCCACCCUACCUAAUCCCCUAAAAUGCAGCCCCAUACUCCGGUGGUACCUGUGAUUAUACAGAAUUACGUAAUCUGGGGCACUGCAGUUUACAUGACAUGGUAAUUGGGAAGGUUUCCCAACCGGGGAAUCCCUCCUGGGAAAAAAUGGAUCAUCAGUAAGAAGCAAUCUUCGCAAGCUUCUUGGGUGUUCCUUCCAAGAUGCAGGACACCCAAGCACUUCUUUUGUGAAAGAAGGAGCAGUAAGAAGUAUGGCAAGUAUGACUUGGGGGAAAAAGUGAAAAGGACACACCCGUCUUGCAACCCUGGAGGAUUCUCUUCUGAAUAGCUCCUAAGAAGCAGAUUUUAUACAUCAAGGACAACAGAGAUAUGAGAAGCCCAGAAAACCCAACAAGAUUCCACAAAUAGAGUCCUGGCUCUUCAUCAUCAUCAGCAGUAGUUUAAGAAUCAAUGAAGCUUGGUGUUAUAUUUGAAAAAGAAGUGAGAACCUGCUCUCAUUUCUGCUUUCAUUCAGGACAAUGAAGAGCUUCUGUCAGGCACAGAAGCGGCCUGUGAACUGACAAGCAUUGUCCCAGGAAACCUAAGCGGGAACAGUCUCCUCUCUCUGCCCAGCAAGCAACCAGCUUGAGAAAAAAGAGUGGCAGGAUUCACAGAAAGAGCCAAUGCAAAUCUGCUCAUGAGCAAGGAUGGUGUGUAUGAGCCUUUUUGAAGGAAAGAGAUGGCAGAAGCAGGAAUUUGCAUCUGGAUAGGCCUUGUGCUACAUUGGUAGGACCUGACUCCUCGCAUCAUCAAAAGCCAGCAAUACUGACAGAAAGAAUUUAGUGAAUAUAGCUACCCGUAAACUACAGUGACAGUAAGGGAUACGCUUAGACCACUGCUACUAAGAGAUCAUUCCAUCAAUAUACUCUUUUUUUCUUCCACCCUCAAAUGUGAAGGUGCUGGAGAACAGCCUUGGAGACGUGGAUUGUUCACAGAAGCAAUAUGUCACAAGCCAAAGGAUCAGUACCUAGAGGCCCCACCUGAGAUCCCCACCGCAUAGUGCUAGGAGCUGUAUAAACACACAGGGAGAGAGCCCCUGCCCCGAAGAGCUUACAAUCUGGUCAGGACGGACAAAUGGCAGCAGGAGAAAAAGGCUCUCAGAGGUCUUUCCAAAGGUCACAAAGCAGAAAAUUUUUCACUGCAAGAGCCCCAGCCUUCCGUACAGUGCCCUGGCCAGCUGUAAGGAGGAUGUCAGACUGCCCUGGAGAACUCAAGGUACCACUGCUUUGCUCAUCACUCAGGGUUGAACCAG